CCCUGCCGCCUCCGCGACCCCAGCCCUGCAAGGGGCUGGCCGUGAGGCGACCUUGGGAGCACUGCUUCGCACCUUCGCUCGCCGGCGGCGGCGCAAUCCAGCUCAAAGCUUUUCUGCGAUGUUUCAGGAAAGCCAUUUGUGCCCUUCUCCCUGCCAGGACCUGGACAAUUAUUUCCACAACUUUCCCCAGAGCCUGUUUAGGCCCACAGGCAUAGUAAUAAGUCUCCCAUAUUCUGCAAUGUGAAGCAAAGACCAUUUUGAAAAGAAGAAGGAGGAGGAAGAGGAGAAGAAGAAAUCCAUGCAGUUUCUUUCAUAAUACACAUUUCCAAGAACUUGAGGAAGAUUCCUCCUACAUGCAAUUGCUAAUUUUUUGAACCAAAAAUUAACUUGCCUUUUAACUUUGUCUUUUUUCCAGGAACUCUUUGAAGUGCCUUCGUGUGGAUCUGUGUAUGUACUCAGGUGCCUGUGCCUGAGUAUAUGUGCAUA
Ochotona princeps (American pika) is the source of this 486-nucleotide long non-coding RNA. RefSeq lists it as uncharacterized. Lineage: Eukaryota; Metazoa; Chordata; Mammalia; Lagomorpha; Ochotonidae. The transcript is spliced from 3 exons. The record is from RefSeq and is a predicted model, not a curated record.